AUUUCUUUUUUUCAGCAAUAGGGCGUUUCUAACAUAUCCAUUCUUGAUUUUGUUUUCUUUUUCACCAGAGCAUCAAUUUUCUGUUAAUGGCUUCCACUUCAACAUCUGGUCGAGGACAACAGGAACGCGAUCCAUUUUGGGUGCUUGAACCUCCCAAAAAAAAGAUAAAAUCCUCCUUGACUGCAAAACAGUUUGAUGUAUUCAUCAACCAUCGAGGCCCGGACACCAAAACGAAGGUGGCUCGGCAGCUCUACGAUUCUCUACAGGAAGCUGGGAUCCGGGCAUAUCUAGAUGCUCCAGAGACUGAACUCGGAGAUUAUUUUCCUUCUGCCAUUAAGAAUGCCAUAUCCUCUGCCGCAGUGCACAUAGCCAUCUUAUCACCGCAAUAUGCAGAGUCUCCUUGGUGCUUAGCUGAGCUUGCUUUGAUGUUCCAAACCAAGGCUAGAAUUAUUCCCCUCUUCUACCAUGUUCAGCCAUCAGACUUCCGCUACAUCAAAAAUGGAGUUGCAGAAGCAUUUUCCAAACACGAAGAGAAGGGCAGAUUUCCUAGUCAUGACAUUCAACAGUGGAAAGAAUGCCUGCAGAAUGUUUCAUGUCUGGAAGGCUACGAACUCAACAAAGAAAAUGACGAUCCGAGCAAGCUGUGCGAUGAUGUUCUGUCCGCUGUAGUUAAGGAGAAGCAAAAGAGAAAAAUUCCAUUCCAAGUUGCACAAUAUGCUGUGGGACUUGACGAGCUUGUGAAAGAUUUCCAUAGCCAUUGUCAGAGAAAUGGGCAGAUGAGAGAUAAGAUAAUUGGCAUCUUUGGAAUGGGAGGAUCUGGCAAGACCACUCUCGCUAAAUAUUUGUUCAAUAGCAAACAUUCAGAAUUCAGUGGAUCAGCUAGUCUGUUUGAUGUGCGAGAAAACCAUGUCAAAGGUAGGCUGACUUCUUUGCAAAGUAAGCUUCUCAAUGAUCUGUUUCCUGGAAAUCAUUAUUCAUUUUCUAGUAUAGAAGAAGGAACAGCCUAUAUCAAGCAUGAGCUUCAAAGGAGCCACGAAUCAAGGUUCCUUAUAGUUAUAGAUGAUGUUGAUCAUCAAAAGCAAUUGGAUGCCCUGUUACCCAAGGAUACCCUCAAUCCCAAUAGUUUAGUGAUUGUCACAACCCGUGACGAGAGACUUCUUAUAAAGUUCGAAGUGACAGUCCGUUAUAAGAUGAAAGAGAUGAAUCCAGAGCAUAGCAAAGAACUCUUCUGCUGGCAUGCGUUCCAUACGCAAUCUUGUAAAAGGGGAUUUGAGAAUUUGGUAGAUAGCUUUGUCGAAGCGUGUGGAGGUUUACCUCUUGCUCUUCAAGUAAUGGGUGGGCAUGUUUUUGGAAGUGGCAUGGCUUAUUGGAAGUUGCAAUUAGAUGAGGCUAAGGCAAGACUAGACAAAGACAUAAGAGAUACGCUUAAAAUAAGCUAUGACGCUCUGGAAGAGGAUCAAAAACAGAUCUUUAUGGAUAUAGCUUGUGGUCGACAUUGAAGAUGAUUUUUAUAUGAGAUGUUUUCUGGGGAGUUCAAAGACAUCAACUGAUUUACAAGUGCUUCAACUUUCCUCUAUUUUUGGUCAUCGGCGUAUUCCUGAAUACCCGAUUCCUCUACAAAAUUUGCACACUUUAAGUCUUGAAAGAGUAUCACCUGUGAUAUUGUGGCAAAGGGAUGACCAGGUUCUACUCAAGUUGAAAGAGCUAUCUUGCAUCUUUGAUAGUAUCUUAGACUCCAGUCUUCAAAAUAUGUAUAUGAGCGAUUUCAAGAAACUGCUGAGUUCGUUUGGAAUGUUCAAAAAUCUGAGAAGUCUGCAAAUAGAAUGUGGACCUGAGUUCUUAAGAUGGGAAAGUAUUAUUGAAUGGAAUCGCUUGCAGAAAUCUAUAAGAGAACUCACCUAUCUGCAAACUUUAAGCUUGAAAUCCUUUAAGGUAGAAGGGGAAUUUGCUCUAAGCAACAGGGGAAAGACAACUGUUGAUCUGUUUCCUAUGAGAAAUCUUGAGGCCAUAAUUCUGUGCGGUGUAUUGAAAACAACGGUGGUCUCCAUUAGUGGACAGUUCUGUCCCAACCUUAAAUCUCUUCAGCUUUGUUGUAUGACAGAUCUGAUUGAAAUGGAUUUGAUAGGGAUAACCACACUGGAAUGUCUGACACUGUUGAAAUGUCAACAAUUGAGAAAAGUAUUGGGCAAUGAUCUGCUAAAACUUGAAUUAUUCCAAAUAAAAUUAUGUCCGACUAUGAGAGAGUUCCCAAAUUUUGGGGGUGUCAAUUGUCUCAAGAGGAUCUAUAUUAGCCAGUGUGAGAACCUGCAGGAUGUAUCAGCUUUUGGAAGAUUGGAAAGAUUGAAGAGGAUCUGGAUCGCUUAUUGUCCAGAGCUGAAGAGUAUAAAAGCUAUUGAACACUUGAAGGGAUUGAAGAGAAUCUGGAUUCAGGGCUGUACACAGUUGCAUGAUGUAGUUUGUUUUAAUGAAUUGAAGGAGUUGAAGAAACUCUUCAUUGGGAAAUGUACAAGGAUGCAGAAUAUGGAAGGCAUUGAACAUUUAUUACGCCUGGAGAGCACUAUCAUUGCUGAAUGUCCGAAGCUGACGAAUAUAAGAGGCGUUGAAGAAUUGGAAGGACUGAAGGAGAUGAUUAUUUCAGAUAGUCCUAUUAUAAGUUGUGUCGAAAGGUUGCAGAGAUUGCCAUCUGAGCAUAUAACUAUGGUGGGGAGAUCAGCUAUGUCAGAUUUUAUUUCAAAUGAGGGUGAUGAAGAUGAAGAUGAAGAAGGAUUUAGAUUUGGCUAUGUGAGGAGAUCGUCCAUAUCAUAUUUUACCGCAGAUAAAAUUGGGAACACAUUGUCUAUGGUGGAUGCUUUUUAUGAAAUAGAGCGUGAAGGAAAUAUAAAUAAUAUUUUGGACUGGUUUCAUAAAACCCAUCGCUCACUCAGUACAUUCAUCUUCUGCGCUUUGGUUUGGGAUUCUCCUCUGAUUGUGCGUCAGAGACCUCAUCAUCUAAGCCAUAUAAACCUGUUUAGCGGUGCUGCAGACUGGAUAUAUAUGUGCGUAGUUAAUGAAGAAAGGUUCUCAGAAUAUGACUCCUGGAUUCCAUCCUCUCCUUGUAUAUAGAAGGCGUUUAUAAUGGGAGUGAAGGCAGGCUUAUUUGCUAAACUAUGCAUUCACAACAGCUGAAUAUUCUGAAAAAGAUCUGUUGCGCUUUGGGCGUGUUGAUUGGUGUGAGAGAGUGACAGUGAUCUUGAUUGGUCUGAGAGAUUGGCUGCAGAGGAGCAUGCUCUUUCUGAUUUCGCCGACGAUGAAGAACACAUUGGUGGUGGUGAUGA
This is an RNA transcript of Cryptomeria japonica (Japanese cedar), 3314 nucleotides long. It is a transcript of the gene named disease resistance protein Roq1-like, with no coding region annotated. Lineage: Eukaryota; Viridiplantae; Streptophyta; Pinopsida; Cupressales; Cupressaceae. The record is from RefSeq and is a predicted model, not a curated record. The transcript has 4 exons.